This 145-nucleotide unclassified non-coding RNA is filed under the name uncultured Septoria. RNAcentral describes it as "sequence contains ITS1". The record is from RNAcentral. Lineage: Eukaryota; Fungi; Ascomycota; Dothideomycetes; Mycosphaerellales; Mycosphaerellaceae.
CCGAGUUCGGGCCUCACGGCCCGCCCUCCAACCCUUUGUGAACACAACUUGUUGCUUCGGGGGCGACCCUGCCGUUCACGCGGCGAGCGCCCCCGGAGGCCUUCAAACACUGCAUCUUUGCGUCGGAGUUUAAGUAAAUUAAACA